RNAcentral lists this small nucleolar RNA (108 nucleotides) under Microtus ochrogaster (prairie vole). Its description in RNAcentral is "Small nucleolar RNA SNORA42/SNORA80 family (ENSMOCG00000010283.1)". It matches the Rfam family "Small nucleolar RNA SNORA42/SNORA80 family", at positions 29 to 136 of the family's 136-position model. From Rfam's summary of the family: The members of this family belong to the H/ACA class of snoRNAs that guide the sites of modification of uridines to pseudouridines. The record is from RNAcentral. Lineage: Eukaryota; Metazoa; Chordata; Mammalia; Rodentia; Cricetidae.
GCAAGCAAAUUUCCUCAUAGCGUCCUGUGCUGGAACAAACUGGGGCUCCCAACCAUUGUCCAGCCUCUGUGCCCGUAUGCUGCUGACAUUGAAGUGGGUCACACAGUG